GUUUUAGCUUAGGUGAUUUUUUUCUAUUGUUCUUUGUUAUGUGCUUGAAGUUGCAAAUUGCUGUGGUCAAUAAAUGCUCUCUUCAGAAAACAGACUAUUCUUGUUCAAGCAUUUAUGAAUUUAGUGCCACUACCUAAAGUCUAAUCUUAAGUCUG
Gavialis gangeticus (Gharial) is the source of this 155-nucleotide long non-coding RNA. RefSeq lists it as uncharacterized. The record is from RefSeq and is a predicted model, not a curated record. Lineage: Eukaryota; Metazoa; Chordata; Crocodylia; Gavialidae. The transcript is spliced from 3 exons.